GACGAACGCUGGCGGCGUGCCUAAUACAUGCCAGUCGAAUGAGAGCAACCGGUGCUUGCACUGGUCAAUCUAGUGGCGAACGGGUGAGUAACACGUGGGUAACCUGCCCAUCAGAGGGGGAUAACAUCCGGAAACGGAUGCUAAAACCGCAUAGGUCUUCGAACCGCAUGGUUUGAAGAGGAAAAGAGGCGCAAGCUUCUGCUGAUGGAUGGACCCGCGGUGCAUUAGCUAGUUGGUGAGGUAACGGCUCACCAAGGCCGUGAUGCAUAGCCGACCUGAGAGGGUGAUCGGCCACAUUGGGACUGAGACACGGCCCAAACUCCUACGGGAGGCAGCAGUAGGGAAUCUUCCGCAAUGGACGCAAGUCUGACGGAGCAACGCCGCGUGAGUGAAGAAGGUUUUCGGAUCGUAAAACUCUGUUGUUAGAGAAGAACAAGUGCUAGAGUAACUGUUAGCGCCUUGACGGUAUCUAACCAGAAAGCCACGGCUAACUACGUG
Molecule: ribosomal RNA, 498 nt
Filed under: uncultured bacterium
Lineage: Bacteria
Description: partial 16S ribosomal RNA
Rfam family: Bacterial small subunit ribosomal RNA
Source: RNAcentral